GAUGAACGCUAGCGAUAGGCUUAACACAUGCAAGUCGAGGGGCAGCACAAGGUAGCUUGCUAUCUGGGUGGCGACCGGCGCACGGGUGCGUAACGCGUAUGCAACCUGCCCUAUACAGGAGGAUAACCCGUCGAAAGACGGACUAAUACUGCGUAUGCUCACAACUUGGUAUCAAGUGGUGAGGAAAGAAAUUCGGUAUAGGAUAGGCCUGCGUCCCAUUAGCUUGUUGGUGAGGUAACGGCUCACCAAGGCAACGAUGGGUAGGGGAACUGAGAGGUUUAUGCCUGACACUGGUACUGAGACACGGACCAGACUCCUACGGGAGGCAGCAGUGCGGAAUAUUGGUCAAGGGGCGCGAGCCUGAGCCAGCCAAGUCGCGUGAAGGAUGACUGUCUUAGGGAUUGUAGACUUCUGUUAUACGGGAAUAACAAGAGUCACGGAUGACUCCGUGCAUGUACCGGAUGAAUAAGCGUCGGCUAACUCCGUG
This 487-nucleotide ribosomal RNA is filed under the name uncultured bacterium. Its description in RNAcentral is "partial 16S ribosomal RNA". It matches the Rfam family "Bacterial small subunit ribosomal RNA", at positions 28 to 507 of the family's 1533-position model. The record is from RNAcentral.